This 505-nucleotide ribosomal RNA is filed under the name uncultured bacterium. Its description in RNAcentral is "partial 16S ribosomal RNA". It matches the Rfam family "Bacterial small subunit ribosomal RNA", at positions 28 to 507 of the family's 1533-position model. The record is from RNAcentral.
GACGAACGCUGGCGGCGUGCCUAAUACAUGCAAGUAGAACGCACAGUUUAUACCGUAGCUUGCUACACCAUAGACUGUGAGUUGCGAACGGGUGAGUAACGCGUAGGUAACCUGCCUGGUAGCGGGGGAUAACUAUUGGAAACGAUAGCUAAUACCGCAUAAUAUUGAUUAUUGCAUGAUAAUUAAUUGAAAGGUGCAAUUGCACCACUACCAGAUGGACCUGCGUUGUAUUAGCUAGUAGGUGAGGUAACGGCUCACCUAGGCGACGAUACAUAGCCGACCUGAGAGGGUGAUCGGCCACACUGGGACUGAGACACGGCCCAGACUCCUACGGGAGGCAGCAGUAGGGAAUCUUCGGCAAUGGACGAAAGUCUGACCGAGCAACGCCGCGUGAGUGAAGAAGGUUGUCGGAUCGUAAAGCUCUGUUGUAAGAGAAGAACGGGUGUGAGAGUGGAAAGUUCACACUGUGACGGUAUCUGACCAGAAAGGGACGGCUAACUACGUG